This 253-nucleotide ribosomal RNA is filed under the name Bacteroides ovatus. RNAcentral's name for it is "partial 16S ribosomal RNA". It matches the Rfam family "Bacterial small subunit ribosomal RNA", at positions 524 to 776 of the family's 1533-position model. The record is from RNAcentral. Lineage: Bacteria; Pseudomonadati; Bacteroidota; Bacteroidia; Bacteroidales; Bacteroidaceae.
UACGGAGGAUCCGAGCGUUAUCCGGAUUUAUUGGGUUUAAAGGGAGCGUAGGUGGAUUGUUAAGUCAGUUGUGAAAGUUUGCGGCUCAACCGUAAAAUUGCAGUUGAAACUGGCAGUCUUGAGUACAGUAGAGGUGGGCGGAAUUCGUGGUGUAGCGGUGAAAUGCUUAGAUAUCACGAAGAACUCCGAUUGCGAAGGCUGCUCACUAGACUGUCACUGACACUGAUGCUCGAAAGUGUGGGUAUCAAACAGG